This 460-nucleotide ribosomal RNA is filed under the name uncultured bacterium. RNAcentral's name for it is "partial 16S ribosomal RNA". It matches the Rfam family "Bacterial small subunit ribosomal RNA", at positions 338 to 795 of the family's 1533-position model. The record is from RNAcentral.
CCUACGGGAGGCUGCAGUGAGGAAUAUUGGUCAAUGGACGAGAGUCUGAACCAGCCAAGUAGCGUGAAGGAUGACUGCCCUAUGGGUUGUAAACUUCUUUUAUAUGGGAAUAAAAUGUUCCACGUGUGGGAUUUUGUAUGUACCAUAUGAAUAAGGAUCGGCUAACUCCGUGCCAGCAGCCGCGGUAAUACGGAGGAUCCGAGCGUUAUCCGGAUUUAUUGGGUUUAAAGGGAGCGUAGGUGGAUUGUUAAGUCAGUUGUGAAAGUUUGCGGCGCAACCGUAAAAUUGCAGUUGAAACUGGCAGUCUUGAGUACAGUAGAGGUGGGCGGAAUUCGUGGUGUAGCGGUGAAAUGCUUAGAUAUCACGAAGAACUCCGAUUGCGAAGGCAGUUCACUGGACUGCAACUGACACUGAGGCUCGAAAGUGUGGGUAUCAAACAGGAUUAGAUACCCGAGUAGUC